GACGAACGCUGGCGGCGUGCUUAACACAUGCAAGUCGAACGGAAAGGCCCUUCAGGGUACUCGAGUGGGGAAAGGGAGAGGAACACGCGGGUGAUCUGCCCUGCACUUUGGGAUAAGCAUGGGAAACUGUGUCUAAUACCGAAUAGGACCACGCGGUUCAUGGCGGGUGGAGGAAAGCUUUUGCGGUGUGGGAUGGGCCCGGGGCCUAUCAGCUUGAUGGUGGGGUAAUGGCCUACCAAGGCGACGACGGGUAGCCGGCCUGAGAGGGUGGCCGGCCAAACUGGGCCUGCGCUACGGCCCAGCCUCCUACGGGAGGCAGCAGUGGAGAAGAUUGCACAGUGGGCGCAAGCCUGAUGCGGCGCCGCCGCGUCGGGGAUGACGUCCUUCGGGUUGUAAACCUCUUUCAAUUGGUACGAAGCGCUAGUGACGGUACCUAUAGAAUAAGCACCGGCUAACUACGUG
RNAcentral lists this ribosomal RNA (462 nucleotides) under uncultured bacterium. Its description in RNAcentral is "partial 16S ribosomal RNA". It matches the Rfam family "Bacterial small subunit ribosomal RNA", at positions 28 to 507 of the family's 1533-position model. The record is from RNAcentral.